This 253-nucleotide ribosomal RNA is filed under the name uncultured bacterium. RNAcentral's name for it is "partial 16S ribosomal RNA". It matches the Rfam family "Bacterial small subunit ribosomal RNA", at positions 524 to 776 of the family's 1533-position model. The record is from RNAcentral.
UACGUAGGGGGCUAGCGUUGUCCGGAAUCAUUGGGCGUAAAGAGCGUGUAGGCGGCCAGGUAAGUCCGCUGUGAAAGUCGGGGGCUCAACCCUCGAAUGCCGGUGGAUACUGUCGGGCUAGAGUGCGGAAGAGGCGAGUGGAAUUCCUGGUGUAGCGGUGAAAUGCGCAGAUAUCAGGAGGAACACCAAUUGCGAAGGCAGCUCGCUGGGACGUAACUGACGCUGAGACGCGAAAGCGUGGGGAGCAAACAGG